This 447-nucleotide ribosomal RNA is filed under the name uncultured bacterium. RNAcentral's name for it is "bacterial SSU rRNA". It matches the Rfam family "Bacterial small subunit ribosomal RNA", at positions 355 to 825 of the family's 1533-position model. The record is from RNAcentral.
UGGGGAAUAUUGGACAAUGGGCGCAAGCCUGAUCCAGCCAUGCCGCGUGAGUGACGAAGGUCUUCGGAUUGUAAAGCUCUUUUGGCGGGGACGAUAAUGACGGUACCCGCAGAAUAAGCCCCGGCUAACUUCGUGCCAGCAGCCGCGGUAAUACGAAGGGGGCUAGCGUUGUUCGGAAUCACUGGGCGUAAAGCGCACGUAGGCGGAUUUGUUAGUCAGGGGUGAAAUCCCGGGGCUCAACCUCGGAACUGCCUCUGAUACUGCAAAUCUCGAGUCCGAUAGAGGUGAGUGGAAUUCCUAGUGUAGAGGUGAAAUUCGUAGAUAUUAGGAAGAACACCAGUGGCGAAGGCGGCUCACUGGAUCGGUACUGACGCUGAGGUGCGAAAGCGUGGGGAGCAAACAGGAUUAGAUACCCUCGUAGUCCCUGAGCGGGCUGGCAAGGCGCAU